Molecule: ribosomal RNA, 150 nt
Filed under: Trichogramma chilonis
Lineage: Eukaryota; Metazoa; Arthropoda; Insecta; Hymenoptera; Trichogrammatidae
Description: partial 28S ribosomal RNA
Source: RNAcentral
UGCCUUGUUGUUGUUGUUGUUGUUGUUGUUGAAACCAACAACAGCACCACCAGCUGAAAAAAAAUGGGUACCUCGAAAAAAAAGCAUUCUCUUUUUUCGAUCGAAAAAUUCCAAGAAAAAAAAACAUGUGAGACUGCGAGGACACAGGGC